GAAGCAAUGGACAAAAUUUGAAUGGGACGCAUCACUCGUUUUUUAUAACGUUGUGGAGAAAGGGUCAUGUUGAAGGGGAAGGAUUUCCUUUAAACGACUACAGUCGGAAGCGAUGGGGACGAGCGCUUUUACCCAGCAAACACAAACAGAGGGCGCUACAACGACACAACGCGUGGACCACUCUCACAACGAAAAAUUGAAGACGAUCUUCACUGAUGCCGUACGCGAGUCUUCGCAUAAGGGACCAGUAUUCCGUACCACGGAACAACUUGCAGAGUCGACAAAGCUGUAGGCCUAUACUCAUCUGCAGCAGCUAGCUAUAGCGUACUACCAGACAUUGUAAACCCUACAUCAUCUCCCGCCUUACGCCUCUCUGCAAGCAAGUUCCAUCGCGACAACUCCCCGCUAGCACUGAUUGUGGCACCUUGCUAACUGACAAUCCAAUCAUCCUCAAACCAGUUUCUUGUCUGGGACCGGACAGACAACCCAGACAGUCAUCCCACUUCGCCGUGUCAUCGCCACGAUUCUCAUUAGCCUAAUAUUACUUGAGGACCCGGUUGCAUAGCCCACCGGGUAGGCUUCGUACGAAUCCAGGGCAAACUGUUUAAAGACCUACAUGCUAUUAUAUACACAGGCCGACUACCGGAUUAUCAGUUCACGAUCUGGAGUGUAAGAUGUAAACAUGGCUGUCAAACAAAACAUCGAGUGAAUCGUCUUCUUUGUGACAAUGCCAUGUUAAGCCUUUACAUCAGUUGCUGAGGGUUUGUGCAGUGCUAUUUUUGUGUUCUGUUGGGGGGGAGGUUAGGGGGUAAAAUACGCAUGUGUAAUUAAUGGAACAUUUUAAUGAAAAUUACAGGUUAAGAUUGCUUUACUGUAACAAUAUGUAUUCUCCUGUUAUUUGAUUAAUGGUGGAAGGGGUCGGUUCUGAGCUAUUUUUUUUUCAGCAAAUUGGUGAUUUCCACCCCCAUUUCUCUCUGUUUUCUUGUUUAAUCUCUCAUAUUUUGCCUAUUGCAAAUCCAAGCUAAUACCACUAGCUUCGACAGUUUCGAAUCAAAACUAGUAAUGGAUGAAACGGGAGGAAUUUUGUUCCCAAAAAUAUUCUCGAUAUUUUCUUCCGUGAUGGAAACAUGGAGGAAAGAAAGCGAAUGAUGGAAAGCCAGGACGGGAAGGAGAAAUUUUUUUUUUUACAUGAACAUCUUUUCGACAAAAGGCGCCUUCUCCUGCUGGCCAGCUGGAUACGGGCUUAAAUUAUUUUUUCGCCGUGUAUGACACGUCUCACAAGCCGGGCGCGCAUAUUAAUGGCUGGUCAGGCGGGCAAAGCGUACCGACCUGUUAAAUGGUGGCGCCCUUUGACUUUAACGGCCGCCUCGCGCGCGGGCCACUGGCAGCAUGAAGCUUCCUCCUCAGCUCAUUUUCGUCCCGUCGUCGCUGACGAAUGGGAUGUAAUUUCAACGUACGAUUGAAUCACCGUUCGAGAUUAGGGCGUGCAAAGUUAACAUUAAAUCCCAGAAUAGAGAUGCCUCUAUUCCUAAACGUGCCAAGUUAACAUCCGUAUACACAGAUUAAAAUUUUACGAGAUCGAGAGGAGGUGGACGCCACCAAUACGACAAUUCUGUACCCCUCUCCCUCGUGGGAGCUGAGGAACAGGUUGGUUCAUUCUGACAAGAAUUCCUUACUACUGACAGUGGAAGAUGUGGAAUGAUCUGAUUUUUCCCCCAGAUUUCGUUCCAUCCAGCUGGUCUUACUGACACAAGAAACAUGGGAUAGGCUAGUAUUGGAUGACUGUGGUAACCACGGUGACAUGACUAGCGCCAUGAACCUUUUGUGUAACUCGAGUUAGUGACUCAACUUGAGUCUGACUGGAGUUAGGCCCCCUACAAGUUUUUGUGUCUCAACUUGAGUCCCAAAGAUAAAUGACGUUUUUUUGAGUCAUUGCGAGCAAAUGAACAGGACUCGAGUCAUACAUUACUCUAUAAAAUAAUCACAGAAUUUAGUGAAUUGCUGCAACUAUGCAAGAGAUAUUGCCACAUUUUGAUGGGGACUUCAUAUCGUCCUGUGAAAUAGUCCUCAGCACCGUAUUCUUACAUUUUAGAGAAUUGUUAGGUAACAGUAAAGUUGGCUUGAUUUUAUGAGGUGUUUCUGCACUCAGGGUCCAAGCAAAGUUGCCCAAGUCUGUCCUAGAAUGAUAAGGAUGAGACAGGCUUAAAUCUGCUGGGCGAGCUGGGCUUCAUCAUAUUGGCCAGGCAAGUGGAAUGGAAGAAAUGCGAUUACGACGUUUUACACAUGGUGAAAUUCUCCAUCUUGCACUGCUGCACAGUGCUACAUGAUCUUAUACCGUUACCAUCAUUAAGUACCGCAGAAGUAAAACACACAUGAAAUUUAUACAAGUAUUAUCUAAGGUUCAAAGUACUGAAGUCAAUCCGAGGUCGCUCAUGGGGCAUAGCAGUGUUCAACAGGGGCCCCAGGUCGAGUGUAAUUAGGUCACCACAAGGAGUGCAUCCUAAAAGCAGUCCCAUUGUACUCCGACUUGAAUCAUAGGGCAAGGUCCCAGACUGGGUGUCCUGUGACCACCAUGUGAUCAGCUUGUUGACCUGUGAUGACCCUUUUUGACUGAAACAGAGGAAACAGAGUCAUCAAAGUGUGUCCCUGGGUCCCUGCUCUAUGCUUCAAUGCUGGGGCUCACAAUAGGCCUACAUAUGGAUGGCCUGACACUUUGUUUACACAUGCACUUUUGUAUGGAGUCAGUGGGGGCCCAUUCUCCACUGAUCAUGAGAGGAAAGCCCACAUGUAAACAGAGUGUCAGUGUUCCGUAUAGUUCAUGCUCCAUUACUUCAUACACGUGUAUAUGGAGCAUGAUCUACAAGUUUAUGCUAUAGCUGGUAUAAUGACAGUUCAUAUGAUUUAACUGGUUAGCGUUAAUUCAAUGUAAUUAUGACACCUGUACCUUGAUUCUCUCUGGAAAGGAAUAAACACAUGGUGGGAAGAACAAACAAAACUCUUGUUUACUUUUUCUGAAGUGUCAGCAACUGUAGAUGGCUAAAUUUAGUAGAUGCUGAACAUAUAUCGACCUCUCCAGAUUUUGUCUAGUUGUGUUCAUUUUCGUAUGUAUAUUUCUUAAAAAUCAAAUAUUUUUCUUGACUAAAAUCCUCAAAAGUUGCUUCCAACAGUAAGCACAUGUAGAUGAUUUUAACAGUUACCAUUUCAGCGCUCUCUUUGUUGUGGAAUUUGAUAUUUGUCAAGUCUUCAAACCUGUCAGUUUUCCAGAAAAGCUUGGACAAUUUUAAAUCUUUAAAAAAGGGCACUUUUCAAUUUACAUUCUACCCCGAAAGGAUAUUCAAAUAAUGUUCAUACUCUGAAGAUGAAAUUCGUCCCAUGGAACCUUGGUUUAAUUAAUGGCAAUAGAUAAAGUUUUUCAUUUUGUCCACAUGUUAAUGCAUGUAUAUGGAAGUACUGAGAAGCCGAGAUGCUUUUGUGCAGGUCUCUUAUGCUGGUAGAGUGGUCCUUUUGUGAAGUUCAAAUGGCUUAUGUGUAAAAAACAGCAAUUGUUUUUAUCUGAAACUACUAGAUCUGAUGUCUGUGGGACAGGAAAUUUAUUCUUUGGUUAAUUUUGCAAAAUGGGUUCUUCUUUGUUCUCAUUUCCUGUUGCUAUCCUGAUUUAAUCAGCACUGUUCAAGUUCGAGAUGCCCAAAUGCUUAUAAAAAAUAACCCGAGUAACAUGAUGCCUUUUCAAUUUCAAACAAUGUAAGUUGAGACUAAAUAAAGAAUAAUUUCCUCAUGUUUUCACUGUCUCCCCCCCCCAAAAAACAUCGAUUUUCUGAGACUGCUUUCAGUUCAGAAUAGGCAUGACUAGGCAUUUACUUUUUAGGAACAAAAUUCUUUCUUAGUAAGAUCUGUGUGUUUUUUACACGUCCAUUGUAGAUAUUGCACAGAACAAGUGUAUGUAUAUUUUUUACUAAA
Long non-coding RNA from Acanthaster planci (crown-of-thorns starfish), 3957 nucleotides. Lineage: Eukaryota; Metazoa; Echinodermata; Asteroidea; Valvatida; Acanthasteridae. The record is from RefSeq and is a predicted model, not a curated record.